CGGGUGAGUAAAGUAUCGGAACGUACCUUUCAGUGGGGGAUAACGUAGCGAAAGUUACGCUAAUACCGCAUAUUCUGUGAGCAGGAAAGCAGGGGAUCGCAAGACCUUGCGCUGAUUGAGCGGCCGAUAUCAGAUUAGCUAGUUGGUGAGGUAAAGGCUCACCAAGGCGACGAUCUGUAGCGGGUCUGAGAGGAUGAUCCGCCACACUGGAACUGAGACACGGUCCAGACUCCUACGGGAGGCAGCAGUGGGGAAUUUUGGACAAUGGGGGCAACCCUGAUCCAGCCAUGCCGCGUGAGUGAAGAAGGCCUUCGGGUUGUAAAGCUCUUUCGGCCGGGAAGAGAUCGUAUGGGUUAAUACCCUGUGCGGAUGACGGUACCGGCAUAAGAAGCACCGGCUAACUACGUGCCAGCAGCCGCGGUAAUACGUAGGGUGCGAGCGUUAAUCGGAAUUACUGGGCGUAAAGCGUGCGCAGGCGGUUUUGUAAGACAGGCGUGAAAUCCCCGGGCUCAACCUGGGAACUGCGCUUGUGACUGCAAGGCUAGAGUAUGGCAGAGGGGGGUGGAAUUCCACGUGUAGCAGUGAAAUGCGUAGAGAUGUGGAGGAACACCAAUGGCGAAGGCAGCCCCCUGGGCCAAUACUGACGCUCAUGCACGAAAGCGUGGGUAGCAAACAGGAUUAGAUACCCUGGUAGUCCACGCCCUAAACGAUGUCAACUAGGUGUUGGGUGGGUAAAACCAUUUAGUACCGGAGCUAACGCGUGAAGUUGACCGCCUGGGGAGUACGGCCGCAAGGUUAAAACUCAAAGGAAUUGACGGGGACCCGCACAAGCGGUGGAUGAUGUGGAUUAAUUCGAUGCAACACGAAAAACCUUACCUACCCUUGACAUGUCCAGGAGCCUGAAGAGAUUUGGGUGUGCCCGAAAGGGAACUGGAACACAGGUGCUGCAUGGCUGUCGUCAGCUCGUGUCGUGAGAUGUUGGGUUAAGUCCCGCAACGAGCGCAACCCUUGUCGUUAAUUGCCAUCAUUUAGUUGGGCACUUUAACGAGACUGCCGGUGACAAACCGGAGGAAGGUGGGGAUGACGUCAAGUCCUCAUGGCCCUUAUGGGUAGGGCUUCACACGUCAUACAAUGGUCGGUACAAAGGGUUGCCAACCCGCGAGGGGGAGCCAAUCCCAGAAAGCCGAUCGUAGUCCGGAUCGCAGGCUGCAACUCGCCUGCGUGAAGUCGGAAUCGCUAGUAAUCGUGGAUCAGCAUGUCACGGUGAAUACGUUCCCGGGUCUUGUGCACACCGCCCGCCACACCAUGGGAGCGGGUUCCGCCAGAAGUAGGUAGCCUAACCGCAAGGGGGGCGCCUACCACGGCGGGGUUCGUGACUGGGGUGAAGUCGUAACAAGGUA
This 1400-nucleotide ribosomal RNA is filed under the name metagenome. Its description in RNAcentral is "bacterial SSU rRNA". It matches the Rfam family "Bacterial small subunit ribosomal RNA". The record is from RNAcentral.